RNAcentral lists this ribosomal RNA (433 nucleotides) under uncultured bacterium. Its description in RNAcentral is "partial 16S ribosomal RNA". It matches the Rfam family "Bacterial small subunit ribosomal RNA", at positions 29 to 507 of the family's 1533-position model. The record is from RNAcentral.
AACGAACGCUGGCGGCAUGCCUAACACAUGCAAGUCGAACGAGACCUUCGGGUCUAGUGGCGCACGGGUGCGUAACGCGUGGGAACCUGCCCUUAGGUUCGGAAUAACUCCCCGAAAGGGGUGCUAACACCGGAUAAUGUCUUCGGACCAAAGAUUUAUCGCCUUUGGAUGGGCCCGCGUUGGAUUAGCUAGUUGGUAGGGUAAAAGCCUACCAAGGCGACGAUCCAUAGCUGGUCUGAGAGGAUGAUCAGCCACACUGGGACUGAGACACGGCCCAGACUCCUACGGGAGGCAGCAGUGGGGAAUAUUGGACAAUGGGCGAAAGCCUGAUCCAGCAAUGCCGCGUGAGUGAUGAAGGCCUUAGGGUUGUAAAGCUCUUUUACCCGGGAUGAUAAUGACAGUACCGGGAGAAUAAGCGCCGGCUAACUCCGUG